GCACAAGUAACUAUAAUGAAAGGGCUACAGGGUGCACCCAGGAGCCAUCGAAAUGCUCUCAGGGCGCUCAUUCAUUCAACAACCAUCAGCCCCUACCGUGCCAGGGGAGUAGAUCCUCGCGCCUCCGCGAAGCCCCAGACAGGAGACCCCCUCGCCGGAGAAGGAAAGACUGUGGCUUGCCAGUGUGUCUUCCAUGGAAUUGUCAGUUUGCUGCUUCUUCCAGGAGGAUGUAUAUCAUUAAACAGUUAGUUCUGCCUUCCCCUCAAGGUAUUGGGUUUUGGUUGCCAAAUAAUCAUGCUUAAUUAUGUGCAAAAUAAAGAUUGUAAAUCAGUAGAGCUGCCCUGCCAAGUAUUUUGUCUCAUCAGUUUUUUCUUUUUCAUUUUUCGGUACCAAGAAUCGAACUCACAACCUCAAGCUUAGCAGGCAAGCACUUGCACUAAAUCCCCAGCCCUUUGUCUCACCAGUUUUAAAAGCCUGUUUCUGAAAACUGCUUCUCACACGUAAGCUAUGAAUUAUCUUUCCUUGUUGUAAAGAAA
Molecule: long non-coding RNA, 536 nt
Filed under: Cavia porcellus (domestic guinea pig)
Lineage: Eukaryota; Metazoa; Chordata; Mammalia; Rodentia; Caviidae
Description: lncRNA (ENSCPOG00000038806.1)
Source: RNAcentral